GGCACGUCCGCCAGGUGGAAGCCACUGGACCUCCCCCCGUGCUGGUGGCAAAGGGCUAGUCAUCCUCUGACAGAGCUCCCACACCUUCCCUGAGCCACACGGCCUGAGGAGUAAAAGCCUGCUCAGGGCUGUAACUGAGCCAGGUCACAGCUUUUCUGGCCCCCAAGACGCUGAGGGUUUCACUGCCACUUCUAUCGGGUACAACCAUGGGCUGACCCUGAACUGGGACUGCCAAAGGAACCCUUCAGAGGCUGCGCUGGGAGGACCUUGGCUGGCUGCUGGCCCCCGCCCAGCUGCUGUCUUGUCCUCAAGCUCUGAAAACGUUCCUGGAUGGCUUUUUAGCAGCUUCACAUUUACUCCUGCCGCUAGGCUUGGUUAGGUUUUGAUCAGCCGCAACUUUAGCCAGACUCCCACUCUGGAUGGUGAGGGCACGCGCGUGUUAGGCGGAGCUGUCCCCUGCACGUCCGGCGCCGAAAUAAACAAAUACCGGCUUAAUAGCA
Molecule: long non-coding RNA, 500 nt
Organism: Pipra filicauda (Wire-tailed manakin)
Lineage: Eukaryota; Metazoa; Chordata; Aves; Passeriformes; Pipridae
Exons: 2
Source: RefSeq, a predicted model, not a curated record